This 455-nucleotide ribosomal RNA is filed under the name uncultured bacterium. RNAcentral describes it as "bacterial SSU rRNA". It matches the Rfam family "Bacterial small subunit ribosomal RNA", at positions 340 to 786 of the family's 1533-position model. The record is from RNAcentral.
UACGGAAGGCAGCAGUGGGGAAUAUUGCACAAUGGGCGCAAGCCUGAUGCAGCCAUGCCGCGUGUAUGAAGAAGGCCUUCGGGUUGUAAAGUACUUUCAGUCGUGAGGAAGGUGUUAAGGUUAAUAACCUUAGCAAUUGACGUUAGCGACAGAAGAAGCACCGGCUAACUCCGUGCCAGCAGCUGCGGUAAUACGGAGGGUGCGAGCGUUAAUCGGAAUUACUGGGCGUAAAGGGCACGCAGGCGGUUAAUUAAGUUGGAUGUGAAAUCCCCGGGCUUAACCUGGGAAUGGCAUUCAAGACUGGUUAGCUAGAGUCUUGUAGAGGGGGUAGAAUUCCAUGUGUAGCGGUGAAAUGCGUAGAGAUGUGGAGGAAUACCGGUGGCGAAGGCGGCCCCUGGGACAAAGACUGACGCUCAUGUGCGAAAGCGUGGGGAGCAAACAGGGAUUAGGAUACC